AUGAAAGACCUUGUGCACCAACUCCUGCAAGGGGCGUCUCCACGAGAAUGGUUUCUCUUGCUCUUCUUCCUCUUUGUGCUAGUCCUUGUACACUACUCGUUGACUAGGUUCGCUGCAAAGAGAGCAGACAGACAGCAGGUAAACCGCCGUCUCCCACCUUCACCCAUGGCGCUGCCCAUCAUCGGCCAUCUCCACCUUGUCGGCUCCAUACCGCACGUCUGCCUCCGUGAUCUCGCCAGGAAGCAUGGCCCCGACCUCAUGCUCCUCCGGCUUGGCACCGUGCCUACUCUCAUCGUAUCGUCACCGCGUGCCGCUGAGGCCGUGCUGCGCGCGCACGACCACAUCCUCGCAUCACGCCCACACUCUGUUGUCGCCGAUAUCAUGAUGUACGGCAUGUUGGACGUUGGCUUCGCCCCCUAUGGUGAGUACUGGCGGCAGACAAGGAAGCUCGUCACCACCCACCUUCUGAGUGCCAAAAAGGUGCAGUCGUUCCGCAGCGCCUGUGAGGAGGAGGUGAGCAUUGCCAUGGCCAAGAUCAAUGAGGCAGUCGCAACAGGUUCAACGGUGGACAUGAGUGAGCUGCUAAGCUCGUUCACAAAUGACAUUGCGUGUCGCGCUAUAUCAGGCAAGUUCUUCCGAAAAGAAGGGCGUAACAAGCUGUUCCAGGACCUGAUCAAUGAUAACACACGACUGCUAGGAGGAUUCAUCCUUGAGUACUUCCGUGUCCUGGCUAAGGUUAGUGUGCUGAAGUGGGUUGUCUAUUCAAAAGCCGAGAGAAUGAAGGAGAGAUGGGCUGAUCUACUUGAAAAGGUGAUUGAUGACCAUGAUAGCAAGGACAGCGUGAUGUCUGAUAAGAAAGAGGUUGCUGAUUUUAUCGAUGUUCUGCUAUCUGUUCAACAAGAGUAUGAUCUAACAAGAGAGCACAUCAUAGCUAUGCUGGCAGACAUAUUUUUUGGAGCAACAAGCACAUCAUCUCAAACCCUUGAGUUCACCCUUGUUGAACUUGUAAAGAGGCCACACAUGAUGAGGAAGUUACAAGACGAGGUCAGGAGUAACAGCAUACAUCGGGGAGAAGGAGCAUUCAGCAAAGUCAACCAGAACAACAUGAUUUACCUCAAAGCAGUCAUAAAAGAAUCGCUCCGGCUACAUCCUGUGGCGCCUCUCCUUUCUCCGCAUCUUGCAAUGGCUGAUUGUUGCAUCGAUGGUUACACAGUUCCGAGUGGCACACAAAUAUUUGUUAAUGCUUGGGCUAUUGGCAGAGACGCGAGCUCCUGGGAGGACGCAGAUGAAUUCAUGCCUGAAAGGUUUUUAGAUGACGGCAAAGCAGCACAUGUCAAUUUCAAGGGAAAUGAUUUCCAAUUCUUGCCAUUUGGGGCAGGACGAAGGAUGUGCCCUGGAAUCAACUUUGCGGUUGACAGCAUUGAGAUCAUGUUGGCGACACUUAUGUACUAUUUUGAUUGGGAGCUACCCCAAGGGUUGGAACCAAAUGAUGUUGAUAUGACGGAGGUGUUUGGGCUAACAGUGCGCAGAAGGGAGAAGCUUCUCUUAGUUCCCAAAUUAUCUAGCCACCUACAUGGAUUGGAUAUUGCACCGUAA
Molecule: ribosomal RNA, 1596 nt
Filed under: Triticum aestivum (bread wheat)
Lineage: Eukaryota; Viridiplantae; Streptophyta; Magnoliopsida; Poales; Poaceae
Description: partial small subunit ribosomal RNA
Source: RNAcentral